GGGGUUGUAGCUCAGUGGUAGAGCGUUUGCCUCACAUGUGUGAGGACCUGGGUUCAAUCCUCAGCACCA
Molecule: transfer RNA, 69 nt
Filed under: Ictidomys tridecemlineatus (thirteen-lined ground squirrel)
Lineage: Eukaryota; Metazoa; Chordata; Mammalia; Rodentia; Sciuridae
Description: Spermophilus tridecemlineatus (thirteen-lined ground squirrel) tRNA
Rfam family: tRNA
About the family: Transfer RNA (tRNA) molecules are approximately 80 nucleotides in length. Their secondary structure includes four short double-helical elements and three loops (D, anti-codon, and T loops).
Source: Rfam by way of RNAcentral